RNAcentral lists this unclassified non-coding RNA (271 nucleotides) under uncultured fungus. Its description in RNAcentral is "sequence contains ITS1". The record is from RNAcentral. Lineage: Eukaryota; Fungi.
CGACAAAUUAAUCGGAUCAAAGGCUUGCUGAUUUCGCAGGGUGUGCGGCUCGAGGAGAUCAAAAGUACGUUUGUGCAAGAUCUGGGGAAAAUGCGUUUGUGGAACGGUUCGAUGCUGCCGCCGAAUCUCAAGCAUCGUUUGCAACGGGAAUUUGAGCGAUUACAGCUGAUCGAUAAGCAGAUGCGAGAGCUCGAAGAAGAACGUAUUCGAGAGCUUCGUACAUCCUCGUCAGACGCCGCCAAAAAAGCUCGCCGGCUGAUGAACCUGCAUG